AUGGGCAUCAGACUGGUCCCAGGUAGACACAUCUCCUACAGACGGUCCCUUUCCUUCAGAGAGGGGCAUCUUCUGAGGAGGGACAGAACGACCCGGGACCUGGUUUUUGUCUUCUCUCAUCACAGGGAGACCACCACUGUGUGUGGGAGAGAGAAAGGUUGCUCUUCUUGGAAAAGAUCAGAUUUAUUUGGAGAAGACAAAAAACCCACAACCCAAAGGAUGGGAUUUUACAUCUCAAGACAUCUCCCAGAAUGUCUCUCUGGCUUCCUCUCCCUCUCAGAGACCCAAUUUGGAACUGAAACCCUGAGGUGAGAUAACUGAGAAAGAAACUUACCUGUGGUCCUCAAAUGAGCUGCUAAGAAAGCUAGUCAUCUGACACAGUGCUGGGAUGACAGACACCAGCCAUCACAUCCAGCCUUAUGAAUUUCAUAAUUCCAUAAUCAGCUGUUUAAGAAUCAUCAUGGCAAGAGAAGGUUCAACUUAGCACAGCAAAAGAAAUUUCAGGAAAAGAGUGAAGAGACGUGCCUGGCCAUUUGUUGUGCAGUGAGAGAGCAAAGACCAGAGGAACAGGAGGUGAUUGAAAGGCCCCAGGGAUUGUGCCUAAAAAAAAAUAAGAAGGAGGAAGCGGUCGAUUUCCUGACUUGUGAUUGGUGAAUGUGUUGAAGAAAUUUAGAGUUCUUUAGGUGAACUUGGGCAGGAUUUAACAAUAGCAUAUAGAAAACUAAGCAAAUGAGGCAGGGCGUGGUGGCUCAUGCCUGUAAGCCUAGCUCUUUGGGAGGCCGAGGUGGGCAGAUCAUGAGGUCAGGAGUUCGAGACCAGCCUGGCCAACAUGGUGAAACCCCAUCUCUACCAAAAAUACAAAAAUUCGCUGGAUAUGCUCGCUUGUAUC
RNAcentral lists this long non-coding RNA (889 nucleotides) under Pan paniscus (pygmy chimpanzee). RNAcentral's name for it is "lncRNA (ENSPPAG00000044798.1)". The record is from RNAcentral. Lineage: Eukaryota; Metazoa; Chordata; Mammalia; Primates; Hominidae.